CCCUUAGAUGUUCUGGGCUGCACGCGCGCUACACUGAUGCGAUCAACAAGUUUUUCCUAUGUCGAUAGACACGGGUAAUCUUUUGAACUCGCAUCGUGAUGGGGAUAGAUUAUUGUAAUUAUUAAUCUUCAACGAGGAAUUCCUAGUAGGUGCAAAUCAUCAGUUUGCAUCGAUUACGUCCCUGCCCUUUGUACACACCGCCCGUCGCUGCUACCGAUUGGUUGAUCUGGUGAAUUAUUCGGACUGCCGGCUGAAGGGGUUUCCUCAUCUGCCAGCGGAGAGUCUUGUUAACCCUAUCAACUAGAGGAAGCAGAAGUCGUAACA
Molecule: ribosomal RNA, 324 nt
Filed under: uncultured eukaryote
Lineage: Eukaryota
Description: partial 18S ribosomal RNA
Rfam family: Eukaryotic small subunit ribosomal RNA
Source: RNAcentral